GACGAACGCUGGCGGCGUGCUUAACACAUGCAAGUCGAACGGAAAGGCCCUGCUUUUGUGGGGUGCUCGAGUGGCGAACGGGUGAGUAACACGUGAGUAACCUGCCCUUGACUUUGGGAUAACUUCAGGAAACUGGGGCUAAUACCGGAUAGGAGCUCCUGCUGCAUGGUGGGGGUUGGAAAGUUUCGGCGGUUGGGGAUGGACUCGCGGCUUAUCAGCUUGUUGGUGGGGUAGUGGCUUACCAAGGCUUUGACGGGUAGCCGGCCUGAGAGGGUGACCGGACACAUUGGGACCGCGAUAAGACACAGACCCCAACGGGAGGCAGCAGUGGCGAAUAAUACACUAUGCACGGGAGCCUGGUGCAGCAACGCCGCGUGGGGGAUGACGGCCUUCGGUUUGAAAAGCGCUUUCGCCUGUGACGGAACGUGAAUGACGGUAAUGGGUAAAGAAGCACCGGCUAACUACGUG
RNAcentral lists this ribosomal RNA (468 nucleotides) under uncultured bacterium. RNAcentral's name for it is "partial 16S ribosomal RNA". It matches the Rfam family "Bacterial small subunit ribosomal RNA", at positions 28 to 507 of the family's 1533-position model. The record is from RNAcentral.